UACGUAGGGUGCAAGCGUUGUCCGGAAUUAUUGGGCGUAAAGAGCUCGUAGGCGGCCUGCCGCGUCGGCUGUGAAAACUCGAGGCUCAACCUCGAGACGCCGAUGGAAACCAUGUGGCUAGAGUCCGGAAGAGGAGAGUGGAAUUCCUGGUGUAGCGGUGAAAUGCGCAGAUAUCAGGAAGAACACCAGUGGCUAAGGCGGCUCUCUAGUACGGUACUGACGCUGAGGCGCGAAAGCGUGGGGAGCGAACAGG
RNAcentral lists this ribosomal RNA (253 nucleotides) under uncultured bacterium. Its description in RNAcentral is "partial 16S ribosomal RNA". It matches the Rfam family "Bacterial small subunit ribosomal RNA", at positions 524 to 776 of the family's 1533-position model. The record is from RNAcentral.